Molecule: long non-coding RNA, 530 nt
Organism: Symphalangus syndactylus (siamang)
Lineage: Eukaryota; Metazoa; Chordata; Mammalia; Primates; Hylobatidae
Source: RefSeq, a predicted model, not a curated record
UUAUGUUAUGAAAAUUCCCUUUGAGAGCACAGUUCUAUCAUGAAGGUGUGCUCAGUUUCAUGGAAGGCUUUUUCUGCAUCUGAGAUGAUGUUGUUUUUCUUCUUUAAUCUGUGGUUAAUCACAUCAGUCAUUUUUCUAAUUUGUUGACCUAACGGGGCAGCAGAGCGCAGUGGCUGAGAACACAGAAGGAGGCCUCUCUGGACUUAAUUCUGGAUUCUUACACUGAAUCAGCUGCGUGUUAUGGAGCAAGUUCCUUGGCCUCUCUCUGUUUCAAGGUGAUGUUGUGACGAUUACAUGUUUUAAUCUCCAUGCAGCCCCACCUGAGUGGACAUCUUUCAUCACCAGAGAUGUCCCACCGAAGCUGACCACAACCAGUCACCUUGUUCUUCAAACCUGAAUGAGAAGUGGAAACUCGGUUUGGAAAGAUCACUUAAAAGGCUAAAUGGCUGCAAGCUGUCAAAAAGACAAACCCAUUACAUGAUCUAUUUGAUUCGUUACCUUCACAAAUAAGAACACUUUUCAGAUCUGGA